RNAcentral lists this ribosomal RNA (439 nucleotides) under uncultured bacterium. RNAcentral describes it as "partial 16S ribosomal RNA". It matches the Rfam family "Bacterial small subunit ribosomal RNA", at positions 339 to 795 of the family's 1533-position model. The record is from RNAcentral.
CUACGGGGCGCAGCAGUGAGGAAUAUUGCACAAUGGGGGGAACCCUGAUGCAGCAACGCCGCGUGGAGGAUGACGCAUUUCGGUGUGUAAACUCCUUUUAUAUGCCAAGAAAAUGACGGUAGCAUAUGAAUAAGCACCGGCUAACUCCGUGCCAGCAGCCGCGGUAAUACGGAGGGUGCAAGCGUUACUCGGAAUCACUGGGCGUAAAGGACGCGUAGGCGGGUUGGAAAGUCAGGUGUGAAAUCCUACAGCUUAACUGUAGAACUGCACUUGAAACUUCUAAUCUAGAGUAUGGGAGGGGGAGAUGGAAUUAGUGGUGUAGGGGUAAUAUCCGUAGAUAUCACUAGGAAUACCUAAAGCGAAGGCGAUCUCCUGGAACAUUACUGACGCUAAGGCGUGAAAGCGUGGGGAGCAAACAGGAUUAGAUACCCGCGUAGUC